This 881-nucleotide ribosomal RNA is filed under the name uncultured bacterium. RNAcentral's name for it is "bacterial SSU rRNA". It matches the Rfam family "Bacterial small subunit ribosomal RNA", at positions 8 to 937 of the family's 1533-position model. The record is from RNAcentral.
AGAGUUUGAUCAUGGCUCAGAACGUACGCUGGCGGCACGCCUAACACAUGCAAGUCGAACGCAGUAGCAAUACUGAGUGGCGAACGGGUGAGUAUAAUGUGGGUAUCUGCCUUUUGGUGAAGAAUAACACGGGGAAACUUGUGCUAAUACUUCAUAAGCCUUUACAGGGAAAGAUUUAUCGCCAAAAGAUGAGCCCACACUUGAUUAGCUAGUUGGUAAGGUAAUGGCUUACCAAGGCUACGAUCAAUAGCUGAUCUGAGAGGAUGAUCAGCCACAUUGGGACUGAGACACGGCCCAAACUCCUACGGGAGGCAGCAGUGGGGAAUCUUGCACAAUGGGGGAAACCCUGAUGCAGCGAUGCCGCGUGAGUGAAGAAGGCCUUUGGGUUGUAAAGCUCUUUCGUCGGGGAAGAAAAUGACUGUACCCGAAUAAGAAGGUCCGGCUAACUUCGUGCCAGCAGCCGCGGUAAUACGAAGGGACCUAGCGUAGUUCGGAAUUACUGGGCUUAAAGAGCUCGUAGGUGGUUAGAAAAGUUGGUGGUGAAAUCCCAAGGCUUAACCUUGGAACUGCCACCAAAACUUUUUGACUAGAGUAUGAUAGAGGAAAGUGGAAUUUCUAGUGUAGAGGUGAAAUUCGUAGAUAUUAGAAAGAACACCAAUUGCGAAGGCAACUUUCUGGAUCAUUACUGACACUGAGGAGCGAAAGCAUGGGUAGCGAAGAGGAUUAGAUACCCUCGUAGUCCAUGCUGUAAACGAUGUGUGCUAGACGUUGGAAAUUUAAUUUUCAGUGUCGCAGCAAAAGCGUUAAGCACACCGCCUGGGGAGUACGACCGCAAGGUUAAAACUCAAAUGAAUUGACGGGGACCCGCACAAGUAGUGGAG